UACCGCAAUAUAAAUUAUGACAAAUAGAAUCUUAAAACAAUGUUGUACAAUAAGUGUAGUGGGUUUUACACGGCUUAUAAUAAACGUAGAUGAGAUAACCGUCCAUCAUUGACAGAAAUUAAAAUUCUUUUCUUUUUUUUUUAGGAAAGAAUUUACGAAUAUAUUUAUACAUAUAUGUACACAUUAUUUCCAUUAGUUCCUGAUCGAAAAUUGAAUGUAUUUAAUUAACGACCAACGUUCCAAUUAUUUGUUUGUUAAUAAUGAUAAGAAACUAUGAGUCAUAUCAUAU
Molecule: non-coding RNA, 289 nt
Organism: Cinara cedri
Lineage: Eukaryota; Metazoa; Arthropoda; Insecta; Hemiptera; Aphididae
Source: the annotation of a GenBank genome assembly